GAUGAACGCUGGCGGCGUGCUUAACACAUGCAAGUCGAACGAUGAAGCCCAGCUUGCUGGGUGGAUUAGUGGCGAACGGGUGAGUAACACGUGAGCAACCUGCCCCUGACUCUGGGAUAAGCGCUGGAAACGGCGUCUAAUACUGGAUAUGUCCCGUCACCGCAUGGUGUGCGGGUGGAAAGAUUUUUCGGUUGGGGAUGGGCUCGCGGCCUAUCAGCUUGUUGGUGAGGUAAUGGCUCACCAAGGCGUCGACGGGUAGCCGGCCUGAGAGGGUGACCGGCCACACUGGGACUGAAACACGGCCCAGACUCCUACGGGAGGCAGCAGUGGGGAAUAUUGCACAAUGGGCGGAAGCCUGAUGCAGCAACGCCGCGUGAGGGAUGACGGCCUUCGGGUUGUAAACCUCUUUUAGCAGGGAAGAAGCGAAAGUGACGGUACCUGCAGAAAAAGCACCGGCUAACUACGUG
RNAcentral lists this ribosomal RNA (467 nucleotides) under uncultured bacterium. Its description in RNAcentral is "partial 16S ribosomal RNA". It matches the Rfam family "Bacterial small subunit ribosomal RNA", at positions 28 to 507 of the family's 1533-position model. The record is from RNAcentral.